AUGGCCCAUCCUUUCUCUGCCCAGACAGCCUACUUCCCCAUCUGCAGUCCUUUGACUUCUCAGUUCAACACCCUGGCCCUGGGGAGCGAGCCUCAAGACUCCACUCCCAGGAGAACCCUCCAGGGGGCGCUCUCAUCCCCAGAGUCAAAGCUGGGCAGCGAGACUGGGAAAAAUGACUGGAAUAGAGGAACUAGUUCUGUGACCUGGACAAAAAGACAAGAAAGCAGGAGCCGUUCCAGAUGUUUCUGCUCCCUCCCGCCCCCGGCGUGGUCUGAGUGAACCCAGGGACAGGGACAGGAAGAGAUGCUCCCCAGGGACUCUGGUCCUGGCUGAGUCACCUGGCCUGGAUGUCCAGUUCACGCUACCUCUCUGUUACUCACUGACCAAGAAUAUGACUUAAUUCCCCGUGGGCGAUACCACCAGGCAUAUAAAGAAAUGGGUGAUGACCGUGACACAGAAGCUAAAAGCCUCAAUUACCCUUCGCAACAGGAACCGGGGACAUUUUUAUGAAGAGAGAAAUUUUUGCCUCAUAAAUCGCACUUGUGAGAAAUCCAGCCCACGCUGCUGGUGACCUUGUCACAUCUUCCACAGCCAGAGGCAGCCCCACAGAUGGCGGGGAUCACCUCAGCCUCACCCCUGCCCAUUAAGCCCAAGUAUGUGUUCUAGAGAGUGUAUGGGGGUCAGCCAGGGCUAGGAUGAGGCCAGGAUAGGCAGCCGGAAUGCAAGUAUAUUCCCAGCUCUCAACCUGGCUCCCUCUGUUGGUCUCAACUGCAGGGCAUGGGCAUAAGAAGAGGGUCUUUAAAAAGUCUUCUUGACGGGGUCCCACCCCCAGAGAUUCUGAUGUAACUGGUCCAGGGUGGGGCCUGGGCACUGGGAGCUUUAAAAGCCGCCCAGGUGAUUCUGAUGUACAGCCAAGUUGAGAGCUUACCCCUACCCUGCCCUGCCAGUCGAUGAAUCAACAGCAAGCUUUUAGCAAGUGCAAGCUGGUGGGAGGGGGGAGACCAGAAACAGGACACAGUUUCUGCCCAGGCUCAUUUACAUGAAGCCAUAAUGCGGACUCCCCACACCCCACGGGCAACAGAGACCCUGUGAAGAGGCCUGGGUGCAAGCACCUGGGGGAGCAGCUGCACCUGAUCUGAGCCCAGAAGCUUAGGCUGUCUAAAGGCUCCCACCCAUGCAC
This 1180-nucleotide long non-coding RNA is filed under the name Sus scrofa (pig). RNAcentral describes it as "lncRNA (ENSSSCG00025055383.1)". Lineage: Eukaryota; Metazoa; Chordata; Mammalia; Artiodactyla; Suidae. The record is from RNAcentral.